AUUGAACGCUAGCGGGAGGCCUAACACAUGCAAGUCGAACGAGUGGCGGACGGGUGAGUAAUGUAUGGGAAACUGCCUGAUGGCGGGGGAUAACUACUCGAAACGGUAGCUAAUACCGCAUACCAUCGGAUGUGCCCAGAUGGGAUUAGCUAGUAGGUGGGGUAACGGCUCACCUAGGCGACGAUCCCUAGCUGGUUUGAGAGGAUGACCAGCCACACUGGGACUGAGACACGGUCCAGACUCCUACGGGAGGCAGCAGUGGGGAAUAGUGCACAAUGGGCGCAAGCCUGAUGCAGCCAUGCCGCGUGUAUGAAGAAGGCCUUCGGGUUGUAAAGUACUUUCGGCAGGGAAGCGGUACCCGCAGAAGAAGCACCGGCUAACUCCGUGCCAGCAGCCGCGGUAAUUC
This 406-nucleotide ribosomal RNA is filed under the name uncultured bacterium. RNAcentral describes it as "partial 16S ribosomal RNA". It matches the Rfam family "Bacterial small subunit ribosomal RNA", at positions 30 to 526 of the family's 1533-position model. The record is from RNAcentral.